Molecule: long non-coding RNA, 11140 nt
Filed under: Marmota monax (woodchuck)
Lineage: Eukaryota; Metazoa; Chordata; Mammalia; Rodentia; Sciuridae
Source: RNAcentral
ACUGAGGCAAGUUCCGAGGCCGCCGGCGGCGCGGGGUCUGAGGAGGUUUCUGGGCCGACUCGGCACGGCAGGGGCGAGCCCCAGGCCCAGACCCAGGUGAUGCCGGUGUCCCGGGCCCGGGGGCGACCCCCGAGGCCUGCUGGGGCUUGAGGCUGCGUGGCGCUGGCGCGGCCGGGGCGCGGAGCGGAGGCCGGGACUUGGAGGAAGGCCGGGGCGGGGAGCCGAGGUCGGGGCGGGUGCAGAGGUGGGGCGGGGCGGUAGGGUUCGGGUGGCUAAGGCAGCGGGCAGAGGCCUUCUCGCCCCCCUCUCCCCGACCUCGGCCUCCCGCCCUCUAACCCCUGCCUCCUUUCCCGGCCUCCGGCAACCUCCUGCGGGACGUAGGGAUACGCGCCCCCCAGGGCCUGCGGGUGUCCGCGGCUGUGGGCUGGGGCCACGUGACAGCCAUGCUGCCCUUGAACUGCUGCUUUUGUGGGCAUUGAUCGUGUCCACAGUGCACGUUGCCUGAUCUUCAUUCCGGGUGACUGUAGGGUCACUUCUCGCUCACAUGCUGUAUUUACAUAUCGUUAUUUUUUUGGCACUGGAGAUUGAGCCCAGGGGUGCUUAACGCCUGAGCCUCAUCGCCAGCCAUUUUUUGUUUUAUUUUGAGACAGGGUCUCGCCAAGUUGCCAAGGCUAUCCUCGAACUUGUGACCUCCUGGCUCAGCGUCCCGGGGUGCAGGGGUGCCAGGUGUGGGCCUUGCGCCUGGCUAGACUUUGUAUUUUUAAACACAGACCGGAAACCUAAGGAAAAAUAUGUUUUUAAAUUUCCAGAAAUAGUAGUAACCCAGUUGUGUUCCACUUAAUCAGGUGGUAGGUAGUUAAAUUCAAUUGUCUAGUGCUGUCACAGGAAAGUAUUCGAGUUGUCAUUUUUGAGCUUAGAUGUGAAGGCUCCAAGAGAAGAAUUGGAGGAGAUGUGACAGGUGUAACCUUGUGGGGAAAUGAGGUAUCCUUUGAGAGCUUCUCUAGUCUUAAAGUCUAUAAAUAUUCACUCUCUUUGCAGACAGAGGAGAUUUCUUGCUAAGUGGUAGCACUUUAUUGCCGUGUUUUGUUCAAUAAGAGGGCUAAAAUGUCUGAAACUGAAAGAGACAAAGGCACCUGGCACCUGUCUGUUAACUGGCCUCCACUAGUCCCAGAAUACUCUGUGUGCGGGGCUGUUACAAAUUGGAGAAUUUCUACAAUAGGAUCUUUGGGAUGGAUUCAUAAGUAUAUUUUCUGCUUUCAUUUUCGAACCAUUGGAGGAAUUCCUCUUUAAAAUAAAAAAGGCACUAAUCUAGGAAUUUUUGCUUGCCAUAGGAGGAGAGCUUGGGCAGCAUUAUCCCUUUUGAAGAUUUUCUUCCUUAGGACCAAAUUUUACCUCUGUUCUUCCAUUGCUUUUUCCUGGUUCUGAACAUGUUUGUGAACUUCUUUGUAUGCUAGUUUCAGCCCAUCUUAACUUUUUUUUUUUUUUUUAAACCUCUUUGAGGUGGAUUGAUUUCCCACUGAGAGGACUGAUCUUUUUCCUUUCUUUUUUUUUUUUCUUAUGGUAUAGUCAGGAUCAAAGAUUAUGGCUUGAUAUACUAAUGAAUGAGUGAGUGGUAGAGAAGGACUUAUAAAUUGCCAUAUCGUAGAAAAUUUUAAAUAUUUUUUUUAGUUGGAGAUGGACACACAAUAUCUUUAUUUAUUUGUAUUUGGUGCUGAGGAUCGAACCUUAUACAUGCCAGGCAAGUGCACUACCACUGAGCUCCAGCCCAGCGCAGUCCUUGAAACUCUUGUUUCUCAAACCGAUUGCCUAUUUUCUGAAAAAAAAAAUAACUGCUUCUUGUUCACUUAUUAGUAACAGAACCAUCUUUGUGUAUGCCUUUCAGUUCUCUCUGGUUUAUUUAUUUGUUUUUUGGUGGUACUGGGAAUUGAACCCUGGCAAAAGGUGGGCAAGCCCUCUACAACUGAGCUACAUUCCCAGUGCUUUUUAAAACAAUAUUUUUGAGAGAGGGUCUUUUUAAGUUGCCCAGGCUGAUCUUGGACUUGUGAUCACAUUGCCUUCACCUCUUAAAUCUCUGGAAUUAUGGGCCUGUGCCACCAGUUGGCUAGAUGUCUUUUCUUGAAUGACCAUGUCUUUCAAUCUUUCACAUUUUCAAUCACAACUUUAUGAGAAAAUACAUUUGUAAACUGUUGCUAAGGUAAUUUUGUAAGUUAUUCUGUAGUCAUCAUUUGUUCUGACGUCAUUUCUGUAUUAGGAGGAGUUGGGUGAUAUUUGUUAUCAUGAGGCUAAAACUAGGAAGAACUAGAGAACAGAAAACCAAGAGUUGUAGGAGUUUGGUCCCUGUGUUUUUUCUCCACUUACAGAUAAAUUGAACAUUGUCAGCUUGUGGAAAGCUGAAAAUCUGUGAUAUGUUCAUCCUUAUCUUUACCAUAAAGACCUGUUAAUGUCUCUUCAUUCAUUGCAUCUUAUCAGUGGUGUUACAUAUGAAGAGUUCUUCCUCACUAGGACUUUGUAAUGUAAGUCAAUCGCCAGGACUUGAAUGAGCAAGAGUAUUCAGUUAUAUGCUAAUGAUAUGGGAAGCUAGGAGUAAGUAUGCAUUUAGAGUAUAAGUAGGAACUCAGUACCUGUCAUUUAUAAAGUCCAUUUGGGAUCCACCUCAGACUUGCUUUUAGUGUUCCCUUUCUUUUCUGAAUAAGUGAAGUUAGCUGCCAUUUCUGGCUUUAUAAGCUGCCUUUUUUCUCUUACUGAGGUUCAUUAUACUGCAGUGUAAUUUUUCUGAGAUAUAAAUGAGUCACUUGAAUACUACUUCUAGUUUUGUGACAGUGGAAUUUCAUCCAAUGUGUAUUUUGUUCCACUAAGGAAGUAUCUUCGUAUCUUCUGUUAACUUUUCUGGAUUAAAGGUAGUCGCCCUGUCUCUGUUAUGGAUGAGCUACAUAAUUUAUAAUUAGAACAAAUGAAUCUAACUCACCUUCUCUUGAUUUUUUUUGGGGGGGAGGGGGUAUCAGCAAGAUAUUUAUCUGGAUGUUUUUCUUUACUUUUUUUCUACUUCAUGUCUAUGCAGGGACUUAAUAAGUAGGAUGCAAUGAAGAAUGUGAUGACUGUAGGUGACUUAGAACAGUUUUCUCAAACUCUUUAGUCUUAGGAUCCUUUUAUAGGCUCAAAAAAUUGUUGAGAAUUUCAGGAAGUUUCAUUUAUUUGGUAAUAUCUUUAAUACGUACUUUGAUAGUAAUUAAAAAAAUUUUUUGAAAUGUUUUUCAAUUAAAAUAAUAAACCCAGGGCUGGGCAUAUAGCUCAGUUGGUUGAGUGCUUGCCUUGCAUGCACAAGGCCCUGGGUUCAAUCCCUACCACCCAAAAAUAAAAGUAAAUAAAAUAAUAAACCUACUACAUUGUAAUAUUUGAUAUGAAAAAUAGCUAUUUUUAAAGCAAAACAUAAUAAGAAAAAUGGUAUUACUUUCCAUUUCUGCAAAUCUCUAGUGUCUGGCUUUAUAGAAGACAGCUGGAUUAUUGUAUCUGCUUCUGCAUUCAAUCUAUUGAAAUCAGUUGCCUUUAAAAAAAAUUGUUUUCUUUAGUUGUUGAUAGAACUCUAUUUUACUUAUUUUUAUGCAGUGCUAAAAAUUGAACCCAGGGUCUCACAUGUGCUAGGCAAGUGCUCUACCACUGAGCUGUGACCCCAGGCCAGAUAAGUUGCUUUGACUGAAGUUUAUGAAGAAAAUCCAGCUUCACACAGAUAUGUUGUUGGAAAAGAUAAGUGUUUUCAUAGCCUUUUCAGAUAACUGCUUUUUUUUUGACACUACCACAAACCUUGACACAGGGUUGGUUAUAAUGUGGCAUUUUAAACAGCAUCAAUGAACUUUUCUUGCUCUGGUAUGUUAACAUUUACGGUUUUUGUCCUGCACUAUGAAUGAAUCUUUCCUAUGCAUGCUUUUGCUACAGGGCCUGGACAGUUGGAAGAUACUGGUUCACUGAGUUAGGUAUAUCUUUCAAAUGUUGACACCCUUUAUUGUAUCAUAUUUGUUAACAUCACUGUGAAUCUUGUAAGAGAAAUCUAACUUGGGAAGUCUUUAUUCUCAUAGAGGCAGAUAUAAAUUAUCCAAAAUUCAUAGUUUUGUUUGAGAGCUUGAAUUUCAUUCUUGGCAACAAAUACUUUUCCUUGCAGUGAAAGGCUGUCUUCAUUCAUGUUUGAGAAAAAGUUUGCCAAACAAUGAAGUCUGAAUAAUUUGUCAGUUGUUUAACAAAAUAGUGUUGCAUAAUGAAAGCAGCUAGUUGGGCUUGCAAUUCAGAUGCGUAAGUAUCCCUUCUUGAGACAGUUACUUACCAUUCAUUCUUCCAGGUAUGAUAAAAUUAAGUGUAUUUCCCAUUUCAUCACACAGAAUGAAAAAGAUGUAUACUCAAGAAUUCAAUGUAAUAAAAUUAACGAUUUGUACUCUUUCACCAAGGACAUUCUUAAUUGAAAUUGCCCUUCCUUUCCUUUCUUUUUUACUGUGAUUGUGUGGCAGUGAAUGGACUGACUACAGUCUGGUGUGAUGCCUCUGCCCUGAUUUGUACUAAGAUGUCAGUGGUUUUGUUCACCUUCAGUGUAAAAGUUAAACAGUGUUAAAAUGAAAACAGCUUUGGACUCUUGGAGCCCUGAAAGGGUUGGUAGGAAUCCAAGGGUCUUCAGGCCCCAUUUUGAGAGUUGCUACUUCACUAGAACAUAAGCCCCUUGAGGGCAAGGACUUGGGUAUCUUGUUUACUGAUGUGCUCCUUAAAUCUGAGUCUGCCAUCUUCCUGGCUGUUUUCCCUGUCUUCAGUGUUAGAUCACUUGCAUUCUCAAUCUGCAUUGUCUUUGUUUAGUUUACCCUCUCCUUUUGGUGGAGCAUAUUGUUGAGUAAUUUCCUGAAGAAAGGUGAGUGUAAGGUGUAAUUUUGAGACUUUGUAUGUCAAAAAAAUGCCUUUAUUCUAAACUCAUACUGAACCAAUGAUUUGACUAGAUAAAGAUUCUAGGUUAAAACUUAUUUUCUUUUAUUGUUUUGUUGAGUUUCCAUUGUGGCUGUUAAAAGCCCAAUGCUUUUUAUUAUAUCUGCCCCUCCCUCAACCCCCACUCUUUUUCUGUUUGGAAAUUUCUGGUAUGUUCUCUGUUUCCUGGUGUCUGAAUUUUCUUUUUCUUUAUGUGGUGCUGGAGAGUGAACCCAGGGCCUCAUGCAUACUAAACAAGCCCUCUACCACUGAGCCACAUACAGCCUGGUAUAUGAAUUUUUUAUAAGAUAUGCCUUGUGUAUGUCUUUUUGAAAAAUUCAUUGUUUCAGGGACUUAGGGCAGUGCAUAGCUUUCAGUUCUGGGAAUUCUAUGGAUUUAGUUUUUGGAUAGUCUCUUUUCCCUGUUAUUUUUUAUGGACUGAAUAUCAGUUAGGUAUUGGACCUCACAGAUUGACCCCCCCCACCCUUUGUUUAUCAUUUAAGUCAAGUGUUCUGUGAAUGGUCUGCCUUCUGCCUAUUCUUGUUCACAGGGUCAUCUUAUAUGUUUCUGAGGAUAUUGAUUGUAAUUUUUGUUCUUGAAGUUUUUUUUUUCUUCACAGUCUUCUAUUUUCGUUUCUUCUUCCUUUUUUUUUUUUUUUUUUUGGUACUGGGGAUUAAACCUAUUGUUGCUUAACCACUGAGCCACAUCCCAAGCCCUUUUUAUUUUUUAUUUUGAGACAGGGUCUUGCUAAGUUUCUGAGGCUGGCUUUGAACGUGCAAUCCUCCUGCCUCAGCUUCCAGAACCACUAACCACUGCGAUUAUAGGUUUAUCCUAUAAUCUAGUUUUUGCUCAGCUUGUUUUUUGUCUUUUAUUUAUUUUUUAUUUUUGGUGCUGGGGAUUGAACCCUGGGCCUUGUACAAACUACUUAUACUUUCUAUCAUCAAGCUAUACUGCCAGCCUUUGUCUUUUAUAAUAAUGGUUUUCCUUACUUGUAUGGUUCUCUUUUGUUGUAUAUUCACUAAAAAGUUACAGAAAAAGAGUUUACAGAAAAAUCUUAAGGUUUGGACUUUGUAUCUGUGGGCUGUGUUAUAGAGUUAUUGAAUUAGGGCUUGGUAUUUUCUUCUGGGGUAUUUUCUUCCUUAUGCACUUAUGUAUCUUGAGUUAGGGAUUGCUGAGUUUUUGCAGAAAAGAAUGCUCUAGUUUUGCUCCCAGGAUGCCCUAGCUUCAGGGUUCUCAUCCAGGCUGCAGAGGGCUGUGGCUUUUCCCAUCAGGUGCAGGCUUUCCUGAGUAUAACUUUUUUAGUUUGGCAUCAUUCUGACCUUUUUACUGAGCCCUUUGACCUGUUGCUACAUUGGCCUCCUUCAAAAAACAAAGAAACAAAAAACAAAUAAACAAAACUGUCCUCAACUGCUGGAGUUUGGGGGAAGAGCAGUCACCUGGCUGGGUAGAAAAGGGAGGAAAUCUAGGGAGCUAUUUCUUUUACAGAAGUUGAGUCAGUUCCCCUGUUUUUAGCUUAAUGACUCAUUGUGCCUGUUGGGGUAUAUGGUGUCUCAAAUUCCCAUUCUUUCUAAAUCUUGCUAUGUGAAUUGGCUUUUUUCUUGUUGGAAUUCUCUGCAGUUGCUUGGUAUUCAGCUUUCUUAACUCUCAAUCCUCCAUCUGUUUUUCAUUUGCUAAAAAUUUGUUGACACGUCUUGUCUACUGUUCCUGUUGUUUUCUCUUCUAGUCUCUUUAUCCUUGUGAAUUUGUACUUUUUAAUUUCUUUAGUCUUAUUCCAGUUAUUUUUUAAAACAAGAUUGUAAGAAGGUAAUGCAAAGUUACCUUAAUUUAAACAGUUAUUCAUGGGUAAAGAAAGUUCUUGAGUUCCUAAAGGUGAAAACACAAAAAAAGAAAGGUAAAGCCAAGAAAUAAGAAAACUUAGAUUACUAUAACCUCUCAGUGGUGGUAAUAAUAAUGACUGAUAUUUGAAAAUAUGUACAUACAUACAUGGGUAUGUAGAUAUCAUGUGUAAUGUAUAUAUGGAUAUAUAUUAUGUAUAAAUGGAUAUGUACACAUGUUUAAAUAUAUGUAGAUAUAUGCUAGCUGGGUAUGGUGGCUCAUGCCUGUAAUGCCAGGGACUUAGAGGCUGAGGCAGGAGGAUUGCAUGUUCUAGACCAGCCUUAGCAAGUUAGUGAGAUUCUCAACAACUUAGUGAGACCUUGUCUCAAAAAAGAAAAGAAGAAGAAAAAAAAAAAAGGACUGGAGGUGUGGAGAUGUAGCUCAGUGAUAAGGUGUCCCUGGGUUUCUUAGUAAAAAAGAAAAAAGUAGGUAUAUACUUUAUGAAUGUCUGUACAUAUUUAUGAAUGUCUGUACAUAUUUAUGAAUGUAUGUACCUAUUUACAUUCUACAUAUGUCUAAUUUCAUAAUCAUGUCAUUUUAGAGCUGGAAAGGAUUACAGUGAUCUCUUAACUGAAAUCAGUUUCAUGUUUCAGCGAGGAAACGGGCUUAUUAGUGACUAAAAAUUUUAAAAUCAAGUUUUCUCAAUGUUUUGUUAAGUUGUAAACAGUAAGACCUCAGCUAACUUGAGGUUCAGAGCUACAUAUAAAAUUCUUAAUUGUGGCUCAAGGUAAAUAGCUUAAAGUUUUGAAUUAGUCCUAACAAGUAUUUCUAUUAGUAUUGCAUUGGGAUCAUGGAGGGCUGGCUCCUCUGAUGAUCUUGAGAACAAGUAGUAAUUUAAUACUUUACUUUGUUGUUUAAAGUAAUGACAUUUAACUUAUUUUGAAUACAUAUUGAAGGAAGAUGUGAACUUUUGUUUAUCUGAUCUAAACCAUUACAUAUAUGGAUCCUGCUUUUUUUUUUUUUUUUUUAAACCAGGGGUGCUUAAUGACUGAAACAUAUUCUCAGCCCUUUUUAUUUUUGGGACAGGGUCUCUCUUAAGUUGCGGAGGAUGGCUUUGAACUUGCCGUUCUCCUUGUGGGAUUAUAGGCAUGCACCACUGCGCCUGUCUGGAUCCUGCUAGAGAAUUAAAUUAAGACAGGUAAACUACUCAUUAGCUGAGUUAAUUACUAAGUACAAAAUUUUAGGUUCUAAUUUUGUUUUUUCUCUAUAUACUAAAUAUAUAAACAUUAAUUGUAUAGAAAUAGAUUUCAAAAAAGAAAAACAUGAAACAUUAUAUUUCAUCACUUAAAUAUUACCAAUUUUUAUUCUUAUUCAUAUGUACAUUUUCUUAUAGUCCACACAGAUGAAAUAAUGCAAAUCUUCAUGAAUAUAUCAUUCUCUAAAAUAUCUUCCAAAUAUAUUUCAAAAGUACAAUUCGGCUGGCUAUCAAACAGCCACUAACAUUUUAAAGGCUUUUUAUAAAUUGUUUAAUAUGAAGGAUUUCCUAAAUAUUGUGACGAGACAGAUAUAUGAUCGUUAUACACUUCUCAACUAACUGAAGUGUUAUUAAAGUGGUCGAAACCGUGUAGUCAAUUUUAAAGGAGUCUAAAGUGUUCACUUAACUAAUGUCACGUAAUCACUUCUGACUACUCCAGGUAAAUUUUUACAUCUUAAGAGUCUUUUUUUAAACUGACAUUCCAUGAGUUCAUAGAACAGAAGUCCCUUCCGUUUUUCAUCCCUCAUCCACCAGUCAAUGGUUUGUUACAGUAUAAAUUACUAUUUACGUUGAAUGUUAUAGUAUUUUAACUAUAUUACUUGACAAAAGUCCUAACUGAGAACUCUUUGUAAUCUUUUUUUAUACUCCUUUUAAAUAAAUAAAUAAACUAUACCCCCAAACUUGAUCCCCACGAAAUGGAGACUAGAUGUAGAGGUCUAGAUUAAUAAAUAAAUAAAAUUUCUGUUAAAUUUUUUUUAUACAUCAAAAAUCAAUAUCCACCUGUGUUACAGAAAUAAAAUGAAAUACACCACGACUUCUAACUUGCGUCACGGAGUACGUACGAUCCGCGUGGGAGAUGGAGACUCAGAGUUGGGGUCGAGUGAUAAAAAAUAAACCUCUAUCUCAGAACAAUUCAACGACUCCGACCGGAGCUUGAACACCAUGAGGACGGAGUCGGAGGGGUCAACAACUCUAACGUCCGUACAUGGUGGUACGGGUAGAUCACCACAAUACCAAACCUACACUCCAUAGGGGGUUCUCGAGUGGACCCUCUGUUACGUUCUUCCAAGUCUCUUGACUCACCCAAUGUUCUCGAAAAUGGACUUGUCACUUAAUUAGUGGACUACCCUAAUUAACUCGUCAUUGACUUCCGUCCACCCCACACCUAUCUCGUGCACCCUAUAAUGUACAUACCGAAACCCAAUAUAUAAACAUAGACCGUUCACUGUUAGAGAGACGAAGAACUAGUAGUACACUCGACGAAGGGAGACGGUUUGAGAAGGCGGACACUACCUCGACCGACAUAUAAUUGACUCUAGAGAUUGUGACACUCGGGAAUUUAUUUGAAAAGGAGGAGAUGUUAACAAGACCAACCCAAAAAUUCAGUGUCGUCGUUUUUUCGACUGUUCAUCGUCUAAACUUAACAAACUUUUAAUAUUUUCCUCAAGUAACUACAGGAUCUUCUAAUAUAAUCUGUAAAAAGAACACAGAACAAUUCUUCGGUACGUGUAAAUUUUAAAAAAGAGUUUAUACAGAAAUUUUUUUUUUACAAAGUAGGUGGAGUAAGGUGAUGCACAUCUGUAAUCCUAGCAUCUUGUGAGACUGAGGCCUUAGGCCUGCAAAUUUAAGGCCAGCCUAAGAAACUUAGCAAAUCCCCAUCUCAAAGUUAAAAAAAAGGACUAGGGAUGUGGCUAAACACCCCUGGAUUUAAUCCCAGGUACCAAUUUUUUUUUUUUUUUUAAAUAAAGUAUUCAUGGCACAAGCCUGUAGUCCCAGCUGCACAAGAGGCUGAGGUAGAAGGAUUGCUUGAGCCCAGGAGUUCAAGAACCAGCCUGGGCAACAUAGUGAGAACAUGUUUAAAAAUUUUGUUUUAUUUUUAAAGAGUUGUAUAAAAACUUGUAUGUUGAAUUUUGCUUAUUGUGCGCCUAUGUUAGAAAUAAUUUUCUUUGAAUUUAAGCUUAUAGAAAUGGGACGCCGGUCUUCAGAUACCGAAGAGGAGAGCAGAAGCAAGAGAAAAAAGAAACACCGUAGACGUUCAUCUUCAAGCAGUUCGUCAGACAGUAGAACUUAUAGCAGAAAGAAAGGAGGAAGGAAAUCAAGAUCAAAGUCAAGAUCAUGGUCGAGAGACCUUCAGCCACGCUCACAUUCUUAUGAUAGAAGGUGAUUUUCAUCAUUUUUAUUUAUACGGUAAUGAGGGCAACUUUGUUUUUUUUUGUACUGGGGAUUGAUCCCAAGGGUGCUGCUCUACCACUGAUUAUAUCCCUAAUCCUUUCUUUUUUUUUUUUUUUUUUUUGAGACAGGGUCUUGCUGAGUUGCUCAGGCUGGCCUUGAACUUGUUAUCUUCCUGCCUCAGCAUCCUGAAUUGCUGAGAUUACAGGCAGUGCCACUGUGUCUGGCGAGAUUGACAUUCCUUAAUGUUCAUGUUUGUUUAUUUUUAAUUUUGUUGGAUAAAAUAUUUUUCUUUUAAUAGUUACAUAUUUAUGAGGGUGAAAUCAUAAAAGGUUUUUUAAAAUCAGCUCUAAUAGUGUCUCUGGCUUUCCUGUUCUUCCUGUAUUCUUUUUUUAAAAAAAAAAUAUUUACUUUUUAGUUUUAGGUGGACACAAUGUCUUUAUUUUAGAUUCAUGUGGUGCUAAGGAUCUAACCCAGUGCCUUGCAUGCUAGGCGAGCACUGUACCACUGAGCCACGACCCAGCCCUCUUCCUAAAUCUUUAUGGGCAAGUAGAUAUAUUCCAUGUACCUUAUUAUCUGAUAUUUGGAAAGAUAGUUUGCUACUUACAACCCAUAAUGCCUUAGUUAGUAGCUUAUCAGAUUCCUCCAUUUUGAACCAGUCAUCUGACUGUACAAGAGAAGUACCUUUUAAUUUAUUUGCUUCAGGGACAGAGGGAGACAGUAAAGAUGAGAUGACCCUUUAGAAUCUAGAUUUCUCUCUAAUUCCUAUAACAAAUACUUUUUAUAGGGAUGAUAUUUGACUUUAUUUCAGACGCAGACAUCGGUCAAGCAGUAGCUCUUCUUACGGCUCUAGAAGAAAAAGAAGUAGAAGUCGUUCAAGGGGUCGAGGGAAAUCUUACAGAAUCCAGAGAUCUAGAUCAAAAAGCAGAACAAGAAGGUAUAUUUUAUUGCUGUUCCCAAAUCAAUGAC